AACCUGGUUGAUCCUGCCAGUAGUCAUAUGCUUGUCUCAAAGAUUAAGCCAUGCAUGUCUAAGUACAAGCCUCAGUAAGGUGAAACCGCGAAUGGCUCAUUAAAUCACACCUAAUCUACCGGAAAGUAACCAGUUACUUGGAUAACUGCGGUAAUUCUGGAGCUAAUACAUGCAACAAGCCCCGACUCACGGAGGGGCGCUUUUAUUAGAUCAAAACCAAACGGCUUCGGCUGUCUCGCUUGGUGACUCUGAAUAACUUUGGGCUGAUCGCAUGGCCUUGCGCCGGCGACAUUUCCGUCGAAGGUGUGCCCUAUCAACUGUCGACUGUGGCAUAGACGCCCACAGUGGUUUUGACGGGUAACGGGGAAUCAGGGUUCGAUUCCGGAGAGGGAGCCUUAAAAACGGCUACCACAUCUAAGGAAGGCAGCAGGCACGCAAAUUACCCAAUGACCGAAGGUCGAGGUAGUGACGAAAAAUAACGAUAGCGGACUCAUCCGAGGCCCAGUAAUUGGAAUGAGUACACUUUAAAACCGUUCCCGAGGAUCUAUUGGAGGGCAAGUCUGGUG
This 566-nucleotide ribosomal RNA is filed under the name uncultured eukaryote. Its description in RNAcentral is "SSU rRNA". It matches the Rfam family "Eukaryotic small subunit ribosomal RNA", at positions 1 to 566 of the family's 1831-position model. The record is from RNAcentral.